CUAGCUGUAAACGAUGGAUACUAGGCGUUGAGAGUAUCGACCCUCUCAGUGUCGUAGCUAACGCGUUAAGUAUCCCGCCUGGGGAGUACGCGCGCAAGCGUGAAACUCAAAGGAAUUGACGGGGGCCCGCACAAGCGGUGGAGUAUGUGGUUUAAUUCGAUGCAACGCGAAGAACAUUACCAGGGCUUGACAUGUCCGGAACCCUGCCCAAAGGCGGGGGUGCCUACGGGAACCGGAACACAGGUGGUGC
RNAcentral lists this ribosomal RNA (250 nucleotides) under uncultured Chroococcidiopsis sp. RNAcentral describes it as "partial 16S ribosomal RNA". It matches the Rfam family "Bacterial small subunit ribosomal RNA", at positions 796 to 1044 of the family's 1533-position model. The record is from RNAcentral. Lineage: Bacteria; Bacillati; Cyanobacteriota; Cyanophyceae; Chroococcidiopsidales; Chroococcidiopsidaceae.